This is a long non-coding RNA of Sapajus apella (tufted capuchin), 5932 nucleotides long. RefSeq lists it as uncharacterized. The transcript is spliced from 2 exons. NCBI's taxonomy places the organism in Eukaryota, Metazoa, Chordata, Mammalia, Primates, Cebidae. The record is from RefSeq and is a predicted model, not a curated record.
AUCACAUUGGUAUGAAUCUGAAAUCAGUAAACUAAGAUGCAUAAGAAACGUAAUUUUCUUUGUUUUCUUGUGACUGAAUUUAAUUCUAUCUUAAGACCCUAUUCUACUGAGGGGUACCAUGGAAGAUGAGAAAACAAACCACAAAAAAAAAAACACAAAUUUAUAUUUCACAUACUGUUCCUGCCAUGUUAUAAGGAUAUAACACUCAUUCAUUAAGACACGGGUUGCAUGUUUUCCCCAUUAUAGAUUAUUUAGGAUUAUGCUGGAUUUACAAAUGAAGGAAAUGAGCAAAGAAAUGCCACUGGAUAAAAGUGUUUUGCUUUCCAGAAGCAUUAAUUUAAGUGACUGGCCCAUGAUUAUCCAUCUGCUCUAUCAGUGAAAGAUCCCUAAAGACAAUGCUUGUCUUCUAUCCUUGUCAUACUCAGUACGCUGUUCGCAUUAACUAGUAUUUGCUCAAAAUGGCUCAAUUUGGGAUCCAGAAUAGACACAUGAACUGCAGUGAGUCACUGAUAGGAUCUGAGUGAAAAUUUUUUAUAUUGUUUUAAGGCUUAGGUAGAUGGACACAGUUUUCUAUUGUUUUGUUUACCUUUGUCUGGUUUCCCCUCCCAUCCCCACGCACAUGCUCACAUGCAUUUUAUUAAACAAAGAAGAGUUCCAGGAAGUUGGAAAUGUCAAAUGGAAACAGCCACCUUCACAAGAGCUGAGAAAAGAUGCUAUAUCAUUUAUCCUUGUGCAGACAUGCAAACCAGAUUUGAAUAGUUUUUAACUUAUUUGCCAAAUUUGCAGUAGAAAUUUCUGGUAAUUAGCAACUUGCUGAAAUUAAGUGAAGUAAUAGUUAACUUCACAAUGGUUUAAACCAUAUUUAAUUGUUUUGCAUGUUUUAAAAAUCAGAUUAUAAAUGAAAACGCAAAGAAAAAAAUCACCAACUUAUUAAUAGAGAAUUGACCAUAUUAUGCAACCAAUUAGAAGAUAUAAAUAUACAAAUCAAUCAUGUAUAAAAUGGAAGGUGCUGCAGAAUGUUAACACCGUACAGGCAAGUGCGUGACAAAUAAUAGUGACCUGUAAAGAUAGCCUAGAAGCAAAACGGUAGUUUGGCAGCUUUGUUGGAAAGAUUUUCUAGAAACAAAGAUGCAGGACCUUCAGUGCCUUUGUUAAUCAUCAGUUAUAGAUAGUUAAAUUUUAUAUUUACAAUAAUUCUGUGACUUUCAAAGUAAUUGUUUAUACAACUGCAUUGAACUUACUAGUGGCAGUAUGUUCAUGUGUACAUGUAUCUGUUUUGAGCUCUCAGGAGAGAGAAAAAAAUGUAAUGUGAGAAAGUGCAAGCAAGCAUAAGAAGGGAGAUAAGAAAAAUAAACUAUCUUAUAAGUAUAAUAAAAAUCACCCAUUCUUCAUGGAUAACCUAACUCCCCAAUUAAACAUGACAUUUCCUCCAAAAUAUUAAGCACCAAACUAGAUUUCUGUUUCUGAAGCCAAGGAAAUUAAAGAAAAAUAGAGUCAAGGAGGUAAGUAGAAGAGAAGAGACUUAAUUACAUUUAGCAACGGUCCCAAUCCACUUAGAUACUUACUAGGGUCCUCAGCACUAGUUCACUGCAGCAUUUGCAUUUAGCACUUUUAAAAUUGGGAUGAAAUGAGUUUUAUAGAUACUAGAGGAAUCAUUAUGAGAUCACAAAGAAGUACUGCGAUAUCAUAACUGAAGCUAGGAGAGGGGAAAGCAAAUUCAUGUCACAGAGGAAAGCAAACUUGCAUCCUCUCAAGUUGUCUUUCCAGUCAACAUUGCCUGCAUAUCACAUAUGGUGUGCAAAAGGGGACAGAUUAACGAAGUACUCAACAGGAAGGUAUAAUAAUCCAAAAUACUUCCUUUGUGACUCUAUCCAUUUCUGCCAUAUCCCAAGAAAAUGCAAAGGUAUCUUCAUUUCUAUGUCAUAAUAUACUUGGGCUGGGAAGGGGGGACAAGCCCAGAGUGAUUGUUCUCUUUUCUGCUGUUCAUAGUUGUGUAUGUGCGCACACAUGAGAGGGCAAGCCUGCACACGUUCACACCCCAUGAUAGCCUGACUUCACUGAUUACUUUCUAGAAUCAUUUUUCCUUUACGCGCCCUGGACAAGAGGGUGGACAGGGAACAUGGUAACAAAAACAAAGGUAAACAUCCUUCUAUAAUUGUAAAGAAGUGUUUUUCUGUUUCCUCUUAGGAGAAAUAAAAAUGCAUCAUUUAAAUUACCAAUUAGGAUCAUAUUGGGCUUGAUAACUUUUUUGGGGGAAACUUUAUAAGGAUUGCAAAAAUGUCAUGCAAAGAAAGAUAGUGAAAUCUCCUAACACAACAUGUUGAGAAGAAAGUUAAUGAUCAGUUUUUUCUGGUAUUUUUUGCACGUAAGCCUACUUGGAAGCACUUUGUAGGCCUACCUGACUUUCCUGAAAUGGCAGAGGGCUGAUUUGAAUGGUAUUAUCCUAUAGGCAUGAGAUGAAGCAGCUUGAUAGGCAUCUUAGAGCUGUUUCCAUGGCCUUAUUAAUUUGUAGCAGUCGUGUGGUAACAAGUUAAGCCAACCUCCCCGUCAGAAAGUCUUCAGUAAGUUUUUCUGGCUGCAAGUAGAAGGAUGGGUAAGACCCUGGGACAAGACCCUAGUGGAGGCUUUUAGGAGAUUGUAAGCAUUUCUGGAUGCUUAAAUUCUAGAUGCUACAUUCUAGAUGCUACAGGCCUAGAAUUUCACACUAAAGUAUUUGUCUGGAGAACUCAAAUAUAUUAUGGGUAUCUUAUUUGUAUUAUGUGUAAGGAAAUAUCAACAUGGGUUUGAUCAUUUAAUCCCAUAUUCUGAUUUUGUUCUAAGCAAAGACAGUUAUUUGAGUGCCAGCUUAGAAAAGAGAAUUCACUAUUACCUGGUAAAUGUGAAGGAACAGGACUUCUCAGCAUAUCUUUCUUGAUGGUAUUUUAGGCUCAAAGCUAAUGGAUUAACUUGUUGUCCUUUCACACAUUCUACCAUGUGACACCAUGCGACACCAGUGGCCGAAGGAGACAAUCUAAUUCACUUCCCUGACAGAGUUUUGGGUGAUGAUUAUAUUAUUCCAUAUCCUGAAAUGCAAGACUCUGCUUGUAUUGAUCUUAAACAUAUAAGCUAAACUCGGUAGCAAAAACAUAACCAAUAUAUGGUGGAGGAAACGACGAGGGCGGGUUUUCUAAAGCCAAGAAAUACUCACUAAAUAGGCUAAGACCAAGAUGAAAAGUGCAAACAACCAACAAGACAGGAGUAGAAAGAACGCAGGGCUCAAUCAAUGGUACUAUUAUCAGAAGGUAUAUUCCACUAUCUAUUGUUGUAUAACAAGCUACCCAAAACUUAGUGGCUUAAAAUCAUUGUUCCUAAUUCUGCAAUCUGGGCUGGCCUCAGCCCGGCAGUUCCUGCUACUAGUCUCAUCUGAAGUCACUCACAAAACUGCACCCCAUUGGUCCAGGAUGGUCUGAUUCAUAUGUCUGCUGGUUAGUUGGGACGGUCAGCCCAGCAUUUCAAAUCCCAUGGGUUCUUCAGAAGGAAGCUCAGGCCUCUUACAUGGCGAAUGUAGUGUUCCAAGAAGUCAAGCAUGGAGGCCACACAGUCUCUUGAGGCCUAGGUCAAAAGUCACACAUCAUUACAUGUACUGCAUUCUGUUGGUCAAAGCAGGUCACAAGGCCAGCCCAGGGUAAAGGGAUAACGAACUGGAUUCCACCUCUACAUGGAAGAAGCUGCACGUAAUAUGUGUCCAUAUUUAAAAUAUCACAGAAUUUAGAGGAAUAUGAAAAUAAUCAUGGCAAAUGUAGCAUAUUCUUAGGAGGAGUUAUUUUUAAUAUCCACCAUUGUAUAAUGCUCCUGGUAGGGCCUCUAUUUAAUGUUUUUUAAAAUGUCUCUACACAUUUUAUUCUUGACUCUCUUAAAAGCUAGUAAUGAGAAAUGUUUACAUUUUAAUAAUUCAGUAAACAUUAAGUACCUGUUGGUGUCAGGCACUGUGAUUUCUCUAUUGCUCUCAGAUCUAUCUGAAAGGAUGUAAAUGGAGCCUUUGAUGCUUUAUUAUAAUCAUUGUUAAGCAUUCUUCAUAAGUGUAAUAUUGACCCUUGAUAGAAAAACAGUUACUUCACAUUAUACUUACUCGUGAAAAACACAAGAAGUGCCCUUCUCUGUCAAACUCCUUCAAUUGUCACCCCUCCACUUCACUAGAGGUACAAAUAAUAGCACAUGAAAUUGUAGCUGGAAGGGAAGGGGAAGACUGGUAAGGCUUAUUUAAAUUGCAUUUCAAGCAUAGAAAACAUACCUUCUUCCCAAGAAAUGAAAGCUAGUAGAAUACUAAAUAAUAUACAUACUUAAAGGCAUAUUAUUUUAAGUGAUAUGUUAAGCAUUACAUUGAGUCUCUCAAACCAAAGUGAUUCAAUUGUCAUUACCAUCAACAAAAUGAAACUUAAAAAUGGAUCGUUAGCAGCCUCUUUUUAGUUUGUUAUAGGGUGUUCCUCUAAAGAGAGGGGAGACCAGAAAUCAGCUCAAUGCACAAGACACGGUGUUGCUGCAUCUCCAUUUUUCCACACCAAUUUCAGUCUUGCUAUUAUUUCCCUGUGGAGGCUACCUGAAAGCUAAAAGCCUGUACAAAAGUAACUUAGGGCAUGUCAUUUUUACUUACUAAAAGUAAGUUUUCCUAUAACAUGUACCACAAGAUAUUACUUGAACAGUUUUGGUUCAAGGAUCACCAGACUGUACAGACUACCUGAGUUUCAGAAGUGACAUUCUUUCAGGUGGCACUCUAUAAGUUGUCUGAAUCACUGAGUUAACAGUCUCUUCAUGUUUUCAUCUUAGAAAGGCAAUUUGAAGUAUUUUUAAAGAGGUUUAAGAAGAAGGCUUGAGAAAAAGUUAAAAAAAGUUUUUAACCCGUUGAAAAAUCAUUUUACAAUUUAUUCAAUUCCCUGAGUGUUUAUUGCAGACCUACUGUGUACACAAGCAUGGUGUACCUGGCAGCUGUGAGAAUAGCAAAGACAUGUUAACAGUCUCUGCACCUAAGGCACUUAGAAUCUAGUUAGUGAAACAAACAUGAGACGCUUAACUCUAAAUGAUUCAUCAGCCUGGUAUUCAAGACCUUCUAUGAUAUGUCUCCAAUAGAUAUUUUCGGUCUAUGUUUUCCCCUGCUCCUCUCAUCUACCCUAUACUCCAUCCUAAGUGAAUGAUACUCUUUUCUCUGACUGUAUCAUACCUUUCCUCCCUCUGUGCCUUUGUUGAUCACUUUCACCCUAGCCACUCUUCAAGGCUCAUUUCAAACACAAAUUUCUUCAGGAAGACUUUUCUCCUGAAUACACACACUGCUACCUCAAAUCCAAAGCUAUUUCUCCUUGUUUAUCUCCCAUUGCAGCCUUAAUUCAUCUUUGGGCUAGGGUUGUCUCUGUGUCUUGUCUCCAUCAUUUGCCAAAUUUUAAGACCUGAAAGUAGAGACAUCAUUUUGUUCUAUCUCGUAAUGUACCUUGCAGUUAAUAAGAGGCAAAAUAACUGUUUAGUUGAAAGAAGAAUGAAUGUGAGGAGAUAUUGUGACCAUCUGCUAAAAUGCAUAGGUAACAAUGUUGGAAAAGAGGAAGCUCUUUUUUCUUUGAAGUUUGAUAAAAAAAAAUAUAUAUAUAUAUAUAUAUAUAUAUUCUUAAAAAAUUAAUCACUUGUCCGAGAUUUAACAGCUAAACUAACAUUUACUGUAUGUUCAUUAUUCUGCAUAAUGUGUUUCUCAUACAUGUAAAAGCACAUUAUUUAGUCAAAACUAUCAUAUUAAAUUUCUCCCGUAAUUCCUAAGGGCUGUCAGCUGCUCAUUAAAUCUUGAUUUUCUGUCAGGAGGAAUUAAUAAUCUUGCCUUUGAGUGAAUUUAGAAGCAAUGAGGGAUUGAGCAGGAAUAUUUGAAUACCCUCUCGGUGGUAAAUUGGAUAUCCAAUUUUCAACUUAGUCUUAAUGG